This 403-nucleotide ribosomal RNA is filed under the name uncultured bacterium. RNAcentral describes it as "partial 16S ribosomal RNA". It matches the Rfam family "Bacterial small subunit ribosomal RNA", at positions 29 to 526 of the family's 1533-position model. The record is from RNAcentral.
AUUGAACGCUGGCGGCAGGCCUAACACAUGCAAGUCGAGCGAGCGGCGGACGGGUGAGUAAUGUAUGGGGACCGCCCUCUAGCGGGGGAGAACUACUGGAAAAGGUGACUAAUACCGCAUACUGGCGGAUAACCCAUAUGGGAGUAGCUAGUAGGUUAGGUAAUGGCUUACCUGGGCGACGAUCCCUAGCGGGUCUGCGAGGAUGAUCAGACAAAUUGGGACUGAGACAGGGCCAAGACGCCUACGGAGGCAGCAGUGGGGAACAGUGGACAAUGGGCGCAAGCCUGCUGCAGCCAGGCCGCGUGUAUGAAGAAGGCCCUAGGGUUGUAAAGUACUUUCAGUCGGGAGGCGGUACCGACAGAAGAAGCACCGGCUAACUCCGUGCCAGCAGCCGCGGUAAUAC